CCUACGGGAGGCAGCAGUGAGGAAUAUUGGUCAAUGGGCGUAAGCCUGAACCAGCCAAGUCGCGUGAGGGAUGAAGGCUCUAUGGAUUGUAAACCUCUUUUAUAAGGGAAUAAAGUGCAGGAUGUGUCCUGCUUUGUAUGUACCUUAUGAAUAAGGAUCGGCUAACUCCGUGCCAGCAGCCGCGGUAAUACGGAGGAUCCGAGCGUUAUCCGGAUUUAUUGGGUUUAAAGGGUGCGUAGGCGGCCUGUUAAGUCAGUGGUGAAAGUGUGUGGCUCAACCAUAGAAUUGCCGUUGAAACUGGGAGGCUUGAGUAUAGUAGAGGCAGGCGGAAUGCGUGGUGUAGCGGUGAAAUGCUUAGAUAUCACGCAGAACCCCGAUUGCGAAGGCAGCCUGC
Molecule: ribosomal RNA, 394 nt
Filed under: uncultured bacterium
Lineage: Bacteria
Description: partial 16S ribosomal RNA
Rfam family: Bacterial small subunit ribosomal RNA
Source: RNAcentral